UUUCGACCUGAGGUCAGGCAAGAACACCCGCUGAACUUAAGCAUAUCAMUAAGCGAGA
RNAcentral lists this ribosomal RNA (58 nucleotides) under Trebouxia simplex. Its description in RNAcentral is "partial large subunit ribosomal RNA". Lineage: Eukaryota; Viridiplantae; Chlorophyta; Trebouxiophyceae; Trebouxiales; Trebouxiaceae. The record is from RNAcentral.